Non-coding RNA from Biomphalaria pfeifferi, 577 nucleotides. The record is from the annotation of a GenBank genome assembly. Lineage: Eukaryota; Metazoa; Mollusca; Gastropoda; Planorbidae.
CUUGAGUGAUUUAGUUGUAUGAACAUAGUUCUUCCUCUUGGAUAAGCUUUGUUUGUUUUUUUAAGGAUUUUUUUUAUUCCUCCAAUCAGGUUGCACAUUCAUCUGUAAAAAUAAAUGGAACCUCAUGGGUUUACGGCUCUAACAAUAUUCCUAGAAAUUCCAUAGCUGAUUUAUUUCGUUGAGAAAAAAAUUACUAGCUCGUUGGCCACAUCUGGAAAACUCUAGUUUUACUUUUAUAAUUUUUUAAAGUAAAAAGUAAAUUAAUUUAAAUUUGGCUAGAGACUAAAUCUAGGUCUAGAUCAAUUAUCGGUUUUGAAAAGACUAUGGCGUUCUUGAAAAGAUUAUCGCGUUGGGGCAUUUCGAAAUGAAGGCAUUAUUUAUUCAAGAGUAUAUUAAAUUAAAGUUUUGCGCAUCGUCUUCCAAGUCUAGAUUUAUUAAAGGCUUAUCAGUGGAAUAAUUCAAUAAUGAAAAAAAAACAUGGCGUAGGCACUAGUAGUCAGCAAUAGUGAGUAUAUUUACAAGUUUAUUGAAGUAUUAUCUAAGCUUUUCUAAUAUUUUAUUACGUAAAUGUUAUAUA